Molecule: ribosomal RNA, 254 nt
Filed under: uncultured bacterium
Lineage: Bacteria
Description: partial 16S ribosomal RNA
Rfam family: Bacterial small subunit ribosomal RNA
Source: RNAcentral
UACGUAGGGACCAAGCGUUGUUCGGAUUUACUGGGCGUAAAGGGCGCGUAGGCGGCGUGACAAGUCACUUGUGAAAUCUCCGGGCUUAACUCGGAACGGUCAAGUGAUACUGUCGUGCUAGAGUACAGAAGGGGCAACUGGAAUUCUCGGUGUAGCGGUGAAAUGCGUAGAUAUCGAGAGGAACACCUGCGGCGAAGGCGGGUUGCUGGGCUGAUACUGACGCUGGAGGCGCGAAAGCCAGGGGAGCGAACGGG